This 96-nucleotide ribosomal RNA is filed under the name Collinsella sp. AF18-8LB. RNAcentral's name for it is "partial 16S ribosomal RNA". It matches the Rfam family "Bacterial small subunit ribosomal RNA", at positions 1 to 96 of the family's 1533-position model. Lineage: Bacteria; Bacillati; Actinomycetota; Coriobacteriia; Coriobacteriales; Coriobacteriaceae. The record is from RNAcentral.
UUUGGACGGAGAGUUCGAUCCUGGCUCAGGAUGAACGCUGGCGGCGCGCCUAACACAUGCAAGUCGAACGGCACCCCUCUCCGGAGGGAAGCGAGU